UACGUAGGGUGCAAGCGUUGUCCGGAAUUAUUGGGCGUAAAGAGCUCGUAGGCGGUCUGUCGCGUCGGAUGUGAAAACUCGGGGCUCAACCCCGAGCCUGCAUUCGAUACGGGCAGACUAGAGUUCGGUAGGGGAGACUGGAAUUCCUGGUGUAGCGGUGAAAUGCGCAGAUAUCAGGAGGAACACCAGUGGCGAAGGCGGGUCUCUGGGCCGAUACUGGCGCUGAGGAGCGAAAGCGUGGGGAGCGAACAGG
Molecule: ribosomal RNA, 253 nt
Filed under: uncultured bacterium
Lineage: Bacteria
Description: partial 16S ribosomal RNA
Rfam family: Bacterial small subunit ribosomal RNA
Source: RNAcentral